RNAcentral lists this unclassified non-coding RNA (337 nucleotides) under soil metagenome. Its description in RNAcentral is "partial contains 5.8S ribosomal RNA, internal transcribed spacer 2, and large subunit ribosomal RNA". The stretch from base 1 to 120 matches the Rfam family "5.8S ribosomal RNA", at positions 35 to 154 of the family's 154-position model. The record is from RNAcentral.
GAUGAAGAACGUAGCGAAAUGCGAUAAGUAGUGUGAAUUGCAGAAUUCAGUGAAUCAUCGAAUCUUUGAACGCACAUUGCGCCCCUUGGUAUUCCAUGGGGCAUGCCUGUUCGAGCGUCAUUUGUACCUUCAAGCUUUGCUUGGUGUUGGGUGUUUGUCUCGCCUUUGCGUGUAGACUCGCCUUAAAAUAAUUGGCAGCCGGCGUAUUGAUUUCGGAGCGCAGUACAUCUCGCGCUUUGCACUCAUAACGACAGCGUCCAAAAGUACAUUUUACACUCUUGACCUCGGAUCAGGUAGGGAUACCCGCUGAACUUAAGCAUAUCAAUAAGCCGGAGGA